RNAcentral lists this ribosomal RNA (461 nucleotides) under uncultured bacterium. RNAcentral describes it as "bacterial SSU rRNA". It matches the Rfam family "Bacterial small subunit ribosomal RNA", at positions 28 to 494 of the family's 1533-position model. The record is from RNAcentral.
GACGAACGCUGGCGGCGUGCCUAACACAUGCAAGUCGAGCGGGGACAGUGAGGAGCUUGCUUCGAGCUGUCCUAGCGGCGGACGGGUGAGUAACGCGUGAGCAACCUGCCUUUCACAGGGGGAUAACGCAUCGAAAGAUGUGCUAAUACCGCGUAAGACCACAGCAUCACAUGGUGCAGGGGUCAAAGGAGCAAUCCGGUGAAAGAUGGGCUCGCGUCCGAUUAGCUAGUUGGUGAGAUAACAGCCACCAAGGCAACGAUCGGUAGCCGACCUGAGAGGGUGAUCGGCCACAUUGGAACUGAGAAACGGUCCAGACUCCUACGGGAGGCAGCAGUGGGGAAUAUUGGGCAAAUGGGCGAAAGCCUGACCCAGCAACGCCGCGUGAGGGAAGAAAAGGUUUCGGCUCGUAAACCUCUGUCCUAUGGGACGAAGAAGGUGACGGUACCAUAGGAGGAAGCCCC